Ziziphus jujuba (common jujube) is the source of this 2627-nucleotide RNA transcript. RefSeq lists it as uncharacterized. The record is from RefSeq and is a predicted model, not a curated record. Lineage: Eukaryota; Viridiplantae; Streptophyta; Magnoliopsida; Rosales; Rhamnaceae. The transcript has 6 exons.
GGCGCUUAAAUUCGCAGAGAGAGUAGAACGUCCUUGCUCUGUUAUGAGACACAGCGUGAAAGGCGAAGAGCCAGCCCAAUAUAGUGUACACAUGAUUGAGAAUGGAGGAAUAUCGGGACCUUCCUUCUAUCACCUCAAAUCCCUAACUUUUCUACGAUUCCAUUCUCAAAAUUUUUUUGGGGAAUUUUUCGCAUCUAAGAAAAGGGUAAAAUAGGAAACGAAAUGGCUUUCCAGAUUGACAACGAUCACUGGGCUUUUUUGGAAGAGAUCGAAGCGCCAAUGUGGGUUGAUCUCUCCUUGGAAGCUAAAUCCAACAAACCAGACAAGUUAUUUUGCAGUGAUGACCAGUGGUUCUACACAUCCCAUCAGUUCCACCAAUUUUCUUCUCAUCAGUUGAAGUCUGCAUUUUCUCAUUCUGGAGAGGUGAGUAUGAUGUUGGACAUGGACAUUUUGGAACCAUCUUCACCAAAGCUUCCAACUUCUGUGUCUAAAUCAAGAGGCAAGGAGUAUAGGAGCAAGGAUUGGAAAGUGGAGAAUCAGGAUUUUACAUUGAACAAGCUGCACCCAGUUAAGGUUCCGAGCCAGAAACCUACAUACAUGAAUUCAGGAUCUUGCAGUGAAAUAAAACAGAAAUUUCAAUCUAUACGUUCAAAAGAAACUACCAACUCAAAAUCAAAUGUUGUUAGUGAUAGUAGUCAUAGUGGAUUUGUAAUACAAAAGUUCUCUUAUCCUAAAUCCUCUCAUGGGCAUUCUACAAGCGGUUUGAGUUCUGUGGCAAACAAGGCAAAUGAAAGUAGGACAGUAAGCACCAUUACGUCUGAGAGUGGUGAGGAACGAGAACAGAAGGUUGUGGAUGUAUCUAGCCAAACAUUUGGUCACACGAGUAGUUUCUUGUCCGUUGUGAAGAUUAAUCUUCGAAAAAGUGGUAUUACAAGACAAGCAUCGAGAGUGGAGAUUAGAGAUGAUAAAAAGCAAUCAAGUGGCCAUAAAUCUUCAUCCAGUAAGUCAAGUGUGGCUUCUUCUUCAAAUCCCAAUCAUAAUGCUGGGAGAUCAAAAUCUUCAUUAGUGAGGCCAAAAGAAAGUACCCCAGAUAGCAGAAAUGUGGGAAGGAUGACUCAUGCAGCCAAGAGCAAAAUAAAAUAUGGUAAUGAAGUGAAGUCAUCUAUUAUGAAGCAUGGUGAAGCGACCUCAAAUAACAAAAGGGAAGGCAAACCUAAUGUUGUCAAGUCAUCCUACCAGGAAGCUGCAAAACAAAAGGCUCAACAUCAGACUUUCCGCAAAAGAGCUUUGGUAUCAUCUAGAGUUAAUGAACAGAACUCAACUCCUGCUGCUUCAAAGCCCAAGGAGAAAUCAGAGGCUGUUAGGUUGGGAGGUAAUGGAAAAGAGAACGUGACAAGCCAGAAGUGCAAUACUAGAAGUGUCGCAGCUAGAAGCACGGUGGGGGAUCAAAAAGUGAUAAAGCAUAGCGUACAGCUAAGGAAUGGUAGAGAAGGACCAGUACGCCUACAGGUAUAAAUGCUAACGGUUAUCUAUGAAUUUUUUUCCCUGCAUCAUUUUCAAAGGAAAAAUGGAACUCAGUUUCACCCUCCUUAUGACUGCUAACUAACCAAAGUAACCCUUUCUUGAAAGCCUGGUUCCAAAACUUGUGAUUGAGAUCAACAGUGCAAAUUGUGAAAUCUUCUAGAUUGCCAAAUAUUAUGCCUUUCAUUUUGUCCUUAUGACCAUGAUGUUCCAGUGAAAGAAACUAGGUGUGAUUUAGGGUCUAUUAACGUUGAUAUUCAACAAAAAGAGUAGAGGGAACACAUUCUUCCACAUUCAGGGACAGAAAUAGUGUUAGUUUCCAUGUAUAAUGGGAGCUAUGCUCUGUUUUCUGGAUGGAUAGGUUUGAUUUGGAUGGGAGGAUCGGAAAUGGGAGGUGUGUAUUUUUGUUGUUAUUUCUGCCCUCUUAAAUUCUUGUUAAUGGUUCUGAAACUGGUUUCUUCAGUAGCUCUAGGGAGGUUGCAGCAGGUCCUAUACCUCCACUCUGGUUAUUCUAGUUGUGGAGGUAACUGAGUAGAACAUCAGAUACAGAAGUGGAAGGGAGGCCUUUUGCUUACACUUUGGGAUUGGGAGUAGAGGGUUAUUGAAGAUUUCUCUCAUAUGUUCUUCAAGUUGAAACAAAUUAUUUUGGCAGAUUUGGGAAAAAUCAGGGAUCAAUGCAAUUUGAAGAACCCUAAGAACAUAAGCCAGGGCCAAAAAGUCAUUCAUGUUCGGUAAAAUAAUGCUGCGGUCUAUCAGUUUUCUUAUAAAGGCAUUUUAAAAAAGAGCUGACUUUCUCUUAUAAAUGGCAUUUUCAAUGAACGAGACAUACAAAAAGAAAGCUGAUUUCUUGAGCCGGAGAAAGGAAGAGGUCAAUGCAGUUUGAUAAACACUAAGAAGGCGAUCCAGGGACGCUCCAUGUUCCAUGAUAUAAGGCUGCUGCUGCCUAGAAGUUCUUGUAUGUAUAUAGAUGAUAUAAACCAACGUCAUUUCCAUGAUAUAAUGCUGCUGCUGCCUAGAAAUUCUUGUAUGUAUAUAGAUGAUAUAAACCAACAUCAUUUCCAACACUGGAGGAAACAUGGAAUGAAACAACAGAGCUUUUGCCCCUA